This 1072-nucleotide long non-coding RNA is filed under the name Anas platyrhynchos platyrhynchos (common mallard). RNAcentral's name for it is "lncRNA (ENSAPLG00000021342.1)". Lineage: Eukaryota; Metazoa; Chordata; Aves; Anseriformes; Anatidae. The record is from RNAcentral.
GUGGUGUCUAACAGUCUGAUGUGACAGUGGAGGCUAAUCUGUUGAAGUAUGGAGCAGACUUUCAGACAAAAUUACAGAUUACAAACUAAUCUCUGUCCUUUCCAUGAAAGAUAUUUUUGUGGCAGAAUCCUGGCCAUUGCCUUGAUGCACGUCGUUGAUGCACAUAAGGAGAAUGAACUGGAAUGGAGGAGAAGACUCAUCCCUCAUUCCUCUUGAGCAAGCCUCCCUCCCAGCUAGAAGAACUGAUCCCUCAGCUGUACUGACUCAAGGAUCAGACUCCACAGUGCUCAUCAGCUUUCAUGACUGGUCCAUGGCAAAGAUGACAGUCAGUUAGAAUAGAAAGACUUUGAUGGCCAUCAAAAUUAAAAUGCUUAUAAUGUCAAUGCCUUGGUUUGUAGAUAUUGCUGUUAGGUGUUGUUGUAUCUUGCACAGGUUUCCUGCCUGCUUAGACACCAGUUGCUGUGAGGCAGCAUAUAUUUCAGGAAGACUGAAAAUAGCACAGAGGUAAAUCAGUGGUAGUUUAACCAAUGCAGAGCACCAUGGUGCCACAAUUUAAACUCUUUCUGCAACCUGUCUGAAAAAGAGUUGAGCUCUUGAUUGAGACACAAACACACAAUGUGUGAAAGAAAAUUUACUGUUGAACUUACAGAGUAGGGAAAUUACACCCAUGGGAGAUAAAAGACUUCUGAACAUGGUUUUGUGUCAAUAUCUCUAUCUAACUUCCUGACUUCUUGCCUUACAAAUGCAAAAAUGCCCAAGAUCUCCAUCCCUGAUGCAUACAGGAGUGAAGCAGUAAAUGAGCAUAUUCAUAACAAGACUAAAAUGGAAAAUUAAAAAAACUAUGGGAUGGAAAAGAAGAAAAAGAUGAAGGACAUAUUACUUGGUUAACAGAUAUUAAAUUGGCAGGGAUUUAAAUUCACCAAGACAUAUUGACCUUUGAUCAGUGUCUUUAUAACGCUAAAUCUUAUACAAGAUAAUAAGUAUUUAAUUUACACAACACUUUCUGGUCAAGUAACAUUUUCUGAAUAUGUGAGACAUGUUUCCGAAUUUGAGUCACAAUAAAUACUCCUGG